This 735-nucleotide ribosomal RNA is filed under the name uncultured bacterium. RNAcentral describes it as "bacterial SSU rRNA". It matches the Rfam family "Bacterial small subunit ribosomal RNA", at positions 8 to 761 of the family's 1533-position model. The record is from RNAcentral.
AGAGUUUGAUCCUGGUUCAGGACGAACGCUGGCGGCGUGCUUAACACAUGCAAGUCGAACGGAGAUAAUAGUAAUAUUAUCUUAGUGGCGGACGGGUGAGUAACGCGUGGGCAACUUGCCUCAGACUGGGGGAUAACACAGGGAAACUUGUGCUAAUACCGCAUAACAUCAUGAGAUGACAUCUUCUUAUGAUCAAAGGAGUAAUCCGGUUUGAGAUGGGCCCGCGUCCGAUUAGCUAGUUGGCGGUGUAAUGGACCACCAAGGCGACGAUCGGUAGCCGAACUGAGAGGUUGAUCGGCCACAUUGGGACUGAGACACGGCCCAGACUCCUACGGGAGGCAGCAGUGGGGAAUAUUGCACAAUGGAGGAAACUCUGAUGCAGCAACGCCACGUGAAGGAUGAAGGUUUUCGGAUUGUAAACUUCUUUGAUUGGGGACGAAUAAUGACGGUACCCAAAAAACAAGCCACGGCUAACUACGUGCCAGCAGCCGCGGUAAUACGUAGGUGGCAAGCGUUGUCCGGAGUUUCUGGGUGUAAAGGGCGUGUAGGCGGGAAGAUAAGUCAGAUGUGAAAUUCCAUGGCUCAACUGUGGCGCUGCAUCUGGAACUAUUUUUCUUGAGUGAUGGAGAGGAAAGUGGAAUUCCUAGUGUAGCGGUGAAAUGCGUAGAUAUUAGGAGGAACACCAGUGGCGAAGGCGACUUUCUGGACAUUAACUGACGCUGAGGCGCGAAAGCG